This 1341-nucleotide long non-coding RNA is filed under the name Vigna radiata. Its description in RNAcentral is "long non-coding RNA (VRAD_LNC001469)". Lineage: Eukaryota; Viridiplantae; Streptophyta; Magnoliopsida; Fabales; Fabaceae. The record is from RNAcentral.
GUCUCUCUCUCAUUAACGAAGUGUAUGAAAAACACUCUCCACAGAGAAAGCUCUCUCUCAUUCACGAAGCCUCUCAGAAACGACAUCCACAGAAGAAAGCGUUUUCUCAUUCACGAUCUCCACAGAAAAAAGGUCUCUGUCAGUGACGAAGCCUCUCCUCUUAGUAACGAUCUCUCUCAAAACGCAUCAAUCCCUCUGAAAAAAGUUUUUUUAAUAUAAGGUAUAUCUGUAUCCACCGUUUGAAGUCGUUGAUGGAAGUGUGGCUUUUUGGGCAACCGUCGAAUGGAGAGGUUUCGAACGGAGAGCUGUUUUCGAUUUCUUUAUUGUGCCUUUAUUUGUUUUCUUCAUUGCCAUUAUUGUGCGAUUUUUUGCGUUUAGGUUUUGGGGCCGGUGGUUCAGAAGUCCGAAAGGUUAGGUUUUUUUGGCUGUUGCCGUUGGGGAUUUCGUUAUUUGGUGCGGUGGUGUGUAUCUGUGCAUUGUGUUUUUGUUUUUCAUCUGAAAGAUAAAACGUAUUUUCACACUUUUUAGGUAGUUUUGUUAUUUGACAUUUGAUCACUGCAUCGUGCUUUGGUUAUUUGACAUUUGAUAUCUGUUAUAACCCAAUUUCUCAUUUGAUAUGUGCUAUUUUAGGUUAGUGUUUGAUGUACGAUAUUAGUACAUCUGAAAAUGGUGCCGUGUACGAUAUUAGCUAUUAUAAUAUGGGAUGGAGAGGAGAAAUUUGAUGGCAAGAGCAUGUCUGACUACACAAAUGUAGGGUAAACAAUGAAUUUGUAUAUUUGUCAUUGUCUUUGUCAUGACAUUGUAUUUAACCUACAAAUUGUUAUUUUCAGGAGGAGUUAGCUGGUUUUAGAAUGAAGUUUAUAUGGGACUGGAUAAUGGAUGAGGACAACGUCAGAAGAAUUGAAACGCUUCACGAUCUUGGAUUGAUUUAGCUCUAGGAAUAUACUGUUGUUUUGGUUCACAUUGUAAUUUACUUUGAAAACAUUAGACAUUGAUUAGAAUUGUGGGAAAUUGUACAUUAUAUUGAAUGUAUACCGCUUAUGUGUUAUUUAAUUAGUAUUGUUCAAACUGUUUUGUAUUUUGGUCCAUGAAUUCGAAGAAUAGGUAUACUGAAUUGGUUGUUCAUGAAGUACUGGAAGUUGUGUUUGAAUAAGAAAAAUGUUUCCAGCUAUGUGCGUAUGUUUGAAUAAGAACAGAAUUUUGUACUGUAACUUUCCAUCCGCAACCAUGUUUUGGUCAAAUGUAUUGUAAAUUGUUGUUGUGGUUGAUUUAUUAUUUUGGGGGAAGGGUGCCAGUGUUGGUUGAUUCUUAUUUAAGUGUUUGGAAGGAUAUGAGUGGUUG